AAGUCGUAACAAGGUUUCCGUAGGUGAACCUGCGGAGGGAUCAUUACAGAGUUCGUGCCCUCACGGGUAGAUCUCCCACCCUGUGUUAUUGUUACCUUUGUUGCUUUGGCGGGCCGCCGUCAGGCUACCGGCUCUCGCUGGUAAGCGCCCGCCAGAGGACCCAAAACUCUGAAUGUUAGUGUCGUCUGAGUACUAUAUAAUAGUUAAAACUUUCAACAACGGAUCUCUUGGUUCUG
This 236-nucleotide unclassified non-coding RNA is filed under the name Leptodontidium sp. RNAcentral's name for it is "partial contains small subunit ribosomal RNA, internal transcribed spacer 1, and 5.8S ribosomal RNA". The stretch from base 1 to 46 matches the Rfam family "Eukaryotic small subunit ribosomal RNA", at positions 1786 to 1831 of the family's 1831-position model. Lineage: Eukaryota; Fungi; Ascomycota; Leotiomycetes; Helotiales; Leptodontidiaceae. The record is from RNAcentral.